GGCUUGUAUGAAUGGCUGAAUGAGAUAUAACCUAUUUAUAUUUUAUAAAAAAUGAAUUUUAAUUUUAAGUAAAAAUGCUUAAAUAUAAAAAAAAGACGAGAAGACCCUAUAAAUCUUAAUUUUAUAGUAUAUUUAUAAUAUUUUGAAAAUUUCAUUAAAUUUAUUAAAUAAAAUUUUAUUGGGGUGAUAGUGAAAUUUAAAAAACUUUUAUUUUUUUUUACAAAUAUAAUUGAUAAAUUGAUCCAUUAAUAAUGAUUACAAGAUUAAGUUACUUUAGGGAUAACAGCGUAAUUAUUUUAAAGAGUUCAUAUCGAUAAAAUAGUUUGCGACCUCGAUGUUGAAUUAA
RNAcentral lists this ribosomal RNA (346 nucleotides) under Culicoides bedfordi. RNAcentral describes it as "partial 16S ribosomal RNA". The record is from RNAcentral. Lineage: Eukaryota; Metazoa; Arthropoda; Insecta; Diptera; Ceratopogonidae.